This 65-nucleotide transfer RNA is filed under the name Dipodomys ordii (Ord's kangaroo rat). It matches the Rfam family "tRNA". From Rfam's summary of the family: Transfer RNA (tRNA) molecules are approximately 80 nucleotides in length. Their secondary structure includes four short double-helical elements and three loops (D, anti-codon, and T loops). The record is from Rfam by way of RNAcentral. Lineage: Eukaryota; Metazoa; Chordata; Mammalia; Rodentia; Heteromyidae.
GGUGACUCAGCAGUAGAGUGCUUGCCUUGCAUGCAUGAGGCCCUGGGUUCGAUUCCUCAGCACCA